CUCACAGCACUUUGCACAACUUACAAUCAAUAGAAAUCCUAAACUGGUCUAAAAGGUCAAAAUAAAGCACAGCAAAAUACUGUGCACUAGAGUUUAGCAGGGUUUGUUUUCAGUCUAAUUAUCCUUACAACAGCCUUGAAUCCCUAUCUUUGUAACAGCCACUGUAAUUAACAUUACUGGGUUUUCAUUUUCAUAAUCACUCAUUUUAAGAGUGAAAACAACAGUUUCAAGACAAAUUAGGGGAAAAAAAAAACAAGCAGUAUGAAAAAAAUCAACCUUGAAGAUCUUCACACCUUUUGAGAUCUUAUAUCUUCAAGUUGUACCUUCUGCGUUAGCUCACAGCACUAUGCACAAUUUACAAUCAAUAGAAAUCCUAAACUGGUCUAAAAGGUCAAAAUAAAGCACAGCAAAAUACUGUGCACUAGAGUUUAGCAGGGUUUGUUUUCAGUCUAAUUAUCCUUACAACAGCCUUGAAUCCUUAUCUUUGUAACAGCCACUGUAAUUAACAUUACUGGGUUUUCAUUUUCAUAAUCACUCAUUUUAAGAGUGAAAACAACAGUUUCAAGACAAAUUAGGGAAAAAAAAAAAACAAGCAGUAUGAAAAAAAUCAACCUUGAAGAUCUUCACACCUUUUGAGAUCUUAUAUCUUCAAGUUGUACCUUCUGCGUUAGCUCACAGCACUAUGCACAAUUUACAAUCAAUAGAAAUCCUAAACUGGUCUAAAAGGUCAAAAUAAAGCACAGCAAAAUACUGUGCACUAGAGUUUAGCAGGGUUUGUUUUCAGUCUAAUUAUCCUUACAACAGCCUUGAAUCCCCAUCUUUGUAACAGCCACUGCGGCUCCUGUUUCCAUCAUUAACAUUACUGGGUUUUCAUUUUUGUUGUCAUUCAUUUCAAGAGUGUCAAAAUAAAGCACAGCAAAAUACUGUGCACUUGAGUUUAGCAGGGUUUGUUUUCAGUCUAAUUAUCCUUACAACAGCCUUGAAUCCUUAUCUUUGUAACAGCCACUGUAAUUAACAUUACUGGGUUUUCAUUUUCAUAAUCACUCAUUUUAAGAGUGAAAACAACAGUUUCAAGACAAAUUAGGGAAAAAAAAAACAAGCAGUAUGAAAAAAAUCAACCUGGUCUGUGCAUCGGGCAUCCAUUCCUCGUUGAAGAUCUUCACACCUUUUGAGAUCUUAUAUCUUCAAGUUGUACUUGCUGCGUUAGCUCACAGCACUAUGCACAACUUACAAUCAAUAGAAAUGCUAAACUGAUCUAAAAGGUCAAAAUAAAGCACAGAAAAGUACUGUGCACUACAGUUUAGCAGGGUUUGUUUUCAGUCUAAUUAUCCUUACAACAGCCUUGAAUCCCUAUCUUUGUAACAGCCACUGCGGCUCCUGUUUCCAUCAUUAACAUUACUGGGUUUUCAUUUUUGUUGUCAUUCAUUUCAAGAGUGUCAAAAUAAAGCACAGCAAAAUACUGUGCACUUGAGUUUAGCAGGGUUUGUUUUCAGUCUAAUUAUCCUUACAACAGCCUUGAAUCCUUAUCUUUGUAACAGCCACUGUAAUUAACAUUACUGGGUUUUCAUUUUCAUAAUCACUCAUUUUAAGAGUGAAAACAACAGUUUUAAUACAAAUUAGGGGGGAAAAAAACAAGCAGUAU
Molecule: non-coding RNA, 1642 nt
Organism: Xyrichtys novacula (pearly razorfish)
Lineage: Eukaryota; Metazoa; Chordata; Actinopteri; Labriformes; Labridae
Source: the annotation of a GenBank genome assembly